CAGUCGCCACGGGAAUACGAGGGGGGCAAGCGUUGUUCGGAAUUAUUGGGCGUAAAGGGUGCGUAGGCGGCUUGACAAGUCUUGUGUGAAAUCUAUGGGCUCAACCCAUAGUCUGCACGGGAAACUGUCGGGCUUGAGAAUGGGAGAGGUGAGUGGAAUUUCCGGUGUAGCGGUGAAAUGCGUAGAUAUCGGAAGGAACACCUGUGGCGAAAGCGGCUCACUGGACCAUUUCUGACGCUGAUGCACGAAAGCUAGGGGAGCAAACAGGAUUAGAUACCCCAGUAGUCCCUGUCUCUUAUAC
This 301-nucleotide ribosomal RNA is filed under the name uncultured bacterium. RNAcentral describes it as "partial 16S ribosomal RNA". It matches the Rfam family "Bacterial small subunit ribosomal RNA", at positions 509 to 807 of the family's 1533-position model. The record is from RNAcentral.